RNAcentral lists this long non-coding RNA (710 nucleotides) under Numida meleagris (helmeted guineafowl). RNAcentral describes it as "lncRNA (ENSNMEG00000005619.1)". The record is from RNAcentral. Lineage: Eukaryota; Metazoa; Chordata; Aves; Galliformes; Numididae.
GGAAAAGUGAAUCUAGUAUCAAAUUCCAGUCCCAAGGAGUAUUUCACAUUCUGUAAACGCAGAAAAAAUUAGGAAAAAGGAACAUCUCACCUUCAUGAGUGGACAAGUGGAAUCUUCAACAGUCAUACUGGAUAGCAAAAAUAUCCUGCUGCACAUAGUUUUCUUGGGUGCAGCUUAUGAAUUUAUGGUCUUAUUCAGCAGUAUCCAGCUCUACGUGUUAAAAAUAAAUUUUCAGAUUACUGUUUCUGUUUGCCAGUCUGGUCUGUUGCAUGCCUCACCUGGAAGGCCCAGCCCAUUCCAAAUAUAUAUUUAAAGCUGAACAAAGUGGUGAUUUUCUGUCUACCUUGAUGAACCAGUUCAGCAUUAAAAGCCUGAUUCCUCCAAAGACCAAGCGAUACCUACAUCUAGAACAGGCAAAGCUGUGCAGAAAGAAAACAGACUGGCCAAUUGCAGAACUUCAUUGUGUGUGCCCAGUCUCCAGAGAAAAUGCACAGGAAGACUUCAGUUCUUCAGCAAGUCAUCCAAAAGACUCAGCAUGGCCACCAGGAAGCUGCCAAAUGCCUGAAGUGUGGGGAAUGUGGAUGACAACGUGCUCCUGGAGCAUUUUGAACAAGCAUCUAGGAUUGCAGAAGAGGAAGAAUAUCCCCAUUUUUCCUUCAAAUGACUACCUGUUUUUACCACCAUCACCAAGUUUGCAUAAUAUUUUCUGA